Python bivittatus (Burmese python) is the source of this 1101-nucleotide non-coding RNA. Lineage: Eukaryota; Metazoa; Chordata; Lepidosauria; Squamata; Pythonidae. The record is from RefSeq and is a predicted model, not a curated record.
CUGCCGGCUUUCCAGCCCCGUUCCUCCCCGCUUUACCUUGGCCACGUAGUCUUUCACUUCGUCCAGGUCGCCGUUUUUGAGGGCCCACAUGAACUCCUUGUCGGACAUAGCGGCGGCCGCCCUGACCGGGACUCGGCGCGAGAGGCCGCGGCACCGCUCGGAAGAAAGGGCGGGGCUGCAGCGGAAAGGGCGGCGGCGACAGUUAGGCUGCUCUCUCUCGUGGGGGGCGAGGGCGACGGUUACGCCUCCAAUAACAGGCGCUCUGGGCACGAGGAGGCCGGAAAAAGGGAAAUGCAACUAACAUGAAGGUGGCGGGGCGGGUGUAAUUAAACCGCUUCGUAUCGCCACACACCGCUUCCGCUUCCGCUCACCAUUCGCUUUUUUCGCCCACACCCCAUGGUGAGGCAAACCGCGCGAGCGCGCAUGCGCCGGGAAGUCUCUCCUCGCUCGCUUCCUGCUUGAACGGGGGCUUCGACGCGAGGAAGCUAACGGCUUCCGUAGCCUGCGCGGGGCGGAGCGUCCGAGUCGCUCCGGGAAACCAGAGCUUGGGAAGAAGCUAUCGCGCAUGUGCUUUUAGGCUCGGUAGGCUAAAGUAGCUAAAGCAAUCCUUCCAGAAGGAUACCAUGGCUGUUGGUACUGAAAGAUGCUGAGAGAUCCGGGAAGAUCAACAAAGUUGUACUCCACUCCAUUCCACUCCAUGUCUCUCUCCUCACAGAGAUCAUCAACAGGAUAUGGAGCAUUAGCUAAGAAGUGGCUUGACUGCGGAUGGGACAGAAAAAGAUGAAACAGGAAAGUGAAACAAAUUCCAGCACUAGUGUUGCUGCUCUGAUGGCAUGCAUUUUCAAAAAUUAAGCAUAAGCGCAAGUAAGACAUUGAAAUUGAACAGAGCUUUAUCAAUGUUGGUUUUAUGUGGAUUGGCAAGAAAGAUGAACCAAAUGAACUGUGUGUUGAAUGUGAGCAAGUACUGGGUAACGGUAGUCUGAACCCUGCAAAAUUACAAAGACAUCUGGAAACCAAACAUCCCAAUUUGAAAGAUCAAAGUCCUGAAUAUUUUUUAAAAAAUGUGCAGAACUCCAUGAGCAUUUCAUACAUUCUUUGUGU